RNAcentral lists this transfer RNA (72 nucleotides) under Flavobacteriales bacterium. Its description in RNAcentral is "tRNA-Lys". It matches the Rfam family "tRNA". From Rfam's summary of the family: Transfer RNA (tRNA) molecules are approximately 80 nucleotides in length. Their secondary structure includes four short double-helical elements and three loops (D, anti-codon, and T loops). The record is from RNAcentral. Lineage: Bacteria; Pseudomonadati; Bacteroidota; Flavobacteriia; Flavobacteriales.
AAGUAUAUAGCUCAGAGGUAGAGCAGUGGACUUUUAAUCCAAAUGUCCUGGGUUCGAUUCCCAGUAUACUUA